GCCCGGCCUUGGCAGCGCUGGCGCGGACGCGGCGGCCGGGGCCGGUCUCCAGGUCCUCGACUCCCGCGAGCGCUGGCCCCGUGUGUCUGCUAUUUUGUCUGCAUCUCUCCUGCAUAUUUAUGGUCGCCUGUCACAUUGCCUGGCGGUUGACAGUUUCCAAAGCACUUGGGCAAGGAGCUGGGGGGAGCUUCACUACAGGUGGGGCAGCGGAGGGAACGCCACCCGCGGGGGACUCGGCCCGACGUGCGGAGUGCCUUGUGCGUUUAGCGCGCUGCGGACGCGGCUGUCGGGAACGGGGCUGGGUGGCCCGUGCCCACCACGGCGUCCGAGCUCCGUCACCUGGGCGCUUGGUGGGGCUGGACCAGUUUUUCCCGGCUCGGGCGUGAGAAACCCCCGCCCGCCGCCGUGCUCCUGGGAGUGGAGUCGUCUCGGGCUCGGGGACCUUUGCCACCCGCUUACCCUCUUAGGGCUGCGCGCCCCAGUCGUGGGUAGUGGCACCGGAUAUUUCCCGUAUGCCACUUAGCAGCUCACCUGUGCUUUUGUAAACUUUGAUUAGCAAAAGCAAAACUGAUCCCUCCCAGACACCAAGCUGCCAGGAAAUUUCUCUAAACCUGACAGUUCUGCGUAAAGCAAAGUCCAGCUCGAGUUGGUUCUCGAGAGCCGGAGGGUCCUGCUGUUGCAGGCCAAACACCACGUAGCGAACUCUAGCAAGUGUGAAAAAGG
RNAcentral lists this long non-coding RNA (723 nucleotides) under Marmota monax (woodchuck). Lineage: Eukaryota; Metazoa; Chordata; Mammalia; Rodentia; Sciuridae. The record is from RNAcentral.